UACACACGGAUAACAUACCGAAAGGUAUGCUAAUACGGGAUAAUAUAUUUGAGAGGCAUCUCUUAAAUAUCAAAGGUGAGCCAGUACAGGAUGGACCCGCGUCUGAUUAGCUAGUUGGUAAGGUAACGGCUUACCAAGGCGACGAUCAGUAGCCGACCUGAGAGGGUGAUCGGCCACAUUGGAACUGAGACACGGUCCAAACUCCUACGGGAGGCAGCAGUGGGGAAUAUUGCACAAUGGGCGAAAGCCUGAUGCAGCAACGCCGCGUGAGUGAUGAAGGCCUUCGGGUCGUAAAACUCUGUCCUCAAGGAAGAUAAUGACGGUACUUGAGGAGGAAGCCCCGGCUAACUACGUGCCAGCAGCCGCGGUAAUACGUAGGGGGCUAGCGUUAUCCGGAUUUACUGGGCGUAAAGGGUGCGUAGGCGGUCUUUCAAGUCAGGAGUGAGAGGCUACGGCUCAACCGUAGUAAGCUCUUGAAACUGGGAGACUUGAGUGCAGGAGAGGAGAGUGGAAUUCCUAGUGUAGCGGUGAAAUGCGUAGAUAUUAGGAGGAACACCAGUUGCGAAGGCGGCUCUCUGGACUGUAACUGACGCUGAGGCACGAAAGCGUGGGGAGCAAACAGGAUUAGAUACCCUGGUAGUCCACGCUGUAAACGAUGA
This 659-nucleotide ribosomal RNA is filed under the name uncultured bacterium. RNAcentral's name for it is "bacterial SSU rRNA". It matches the Rfam family "Bacterial small subunit ribosomal RNA", at positions 134 to 812 of the family's 1533-position model. The record is from RNAcentral.